This 303-nucleotide long non-coding RNA is filed under the name Ovis aries (sheep). Its description in RNAcentral is "lncRNA (ENSOARG00000026364.1)". The record is from RNAcentral. Lineage: Eukaryota; Metazoa; Chordata; Mammalia; Artiodactyla; Bovidae.
AUGCUGCCGGGAUAUAACUCAAUGGGGGUGGAAUCAGCUGUAAUCGUCCUUGUUAGCGACACACACCAGAGGCUUGUGAUUGAAAAAUGCUUUCAGGACCCUUGCUUUCCUGGCCAGCAAAAAAACUUACGAAAACGAUUCUCAUGUGGGGAAUACACAAGGAAAAAAUGGAUGUGUUUUCUUCAACACCUGUUUUCAUUAAGCAAGGGGAAGGAAAUGAAAGAACUUUUUAAUGCUUAUCAAGUAAGUGCCAGAAGCUUACAUAUGUUAUCCCGCUUUAUCUUUCAACUCAGAGAGGUGUAG